Molecule: non-coding RNA, 73 nt
Organism: Stegodyphus mimosarum
Lineage: Eukaryota; Metazoa; Arthropoda; Arachnida; Araneae; Eresidae
Source: Rfam
GCCUUCGUGGUGUAGUGGUUAGAACGCUCGAUGAGUAACCGAGAGGUCCGCGGUUCGAUUCCCGGCGAAGGCG